This 239-nucleotide long non-coding RNA is filed under the name Daucus carota (carrot). RNAcentral's name for it is "long non-coding RNA (DCAR_LNC007441)". The record is from RNAcentral. Lineage: Eukaryota; Viridiplantae; Streptophyta; Magnoliopsida; Apiales; Apiaceae.
AAAGAACACUAAGGGAUACCAGGGAAGAUGAAAGGGUAUCAAGGAAUGUCAAGAAAUGUCAAACAAUAUCAAGGAACAUCACUAUCUCUUCACAACAAACCUUUAUCACACAUCUUUGCUUUCCAACUCAUACCAAUAAUCAAUAUCAAUGUCAUCUUAGAAUUUGAGAAAUUAAAGAUCUCAUUUAUCAAAACUUUCGUAGAAAAGAUAUCAUGAUAAUAUCUCACUGAUGAGAAAAC